UAUGAAAUAAGAAAUCCUAUGAAGAAAUAUUAAAAUAAAUAAGAAAUUCUGCUGCAGGUAGAAUAAAGUAGUAUUAUUAUUAUUAUUAUUAUUCAUAAUUAAAAAAUAAUAAGAAAUAUUCAAGUACCAAAAAUAAAAGGGAAAAAGGCCGUUUUAUGAAAAUAAAAAAAAAGAAUAUAACAAGUCUACAGUGAAUACGCCAAUCUUCC
This 209-nucleotide long non-coding RNA is filed under the name Musa acuminata (dwarf banana). Its description in RNAcentral is "long non-coding RNA (MACU_LNC003487)". The record is from RNAcentral. Lineage: Eukaryota; Viridiplantae; Streptophyta; Magnoliopsida; Zingiberales; Musaceae.